AUUGAACGCUGGCGGCAUGCCUUACACAUGCAAGUCGAACGGCAGCGGGCCUUCGGGUGCCGGCGAGUGGCGAACGGGUGAGUAAUGCAUCGGAACGUGCCAUUGAGUGGGGGAUAACGUAGCGAAAGUUGCGCUAAUACCGCAUAUUCUGUGAGCAGGAAAGCAGGGGGACCGCAAGGCCUUGCGCUCUUUGAGCGGCCGAUGUCAGAUUAGCUAGUUGGUGAGGUAAAGGCUUACCAAGGCGACGAUCUGUAGCGGGUCUGAGAGGAUGAUCCGCCACACUGGAACUGAGACACGGUCCAGACUCCUACGGGAGGCAGCAGUGGGGAAUUUUGGACAAUGGGGGCAACCCUGAUCCAGCCAUGCCGCGUGAGUGAAGAAGGCCU
RNAcentral lists this ribosomal RNA (386 nucleotides) under uncultured bacterium. Its description in RNAcentral is "bacterial SSU rRNA". It matches the Rfam family "Bacterial small subunit ribosomal RNA", at positions 30 to 417 of the family's 1533-position model. The record is from RNAcentral.